AUGCCUCCACGGAAGAGGCCCCGUGGUACUGGGAAGCCCAGCCAGAGCCACACGGCAAAAGACGGCACUGUGUGGGUUGAGGAGGACAUUGGAAUGCCCAGUGCAGAAGCAAAUCGCUCGUGCUUCACUGCGCAAGCUGGACCCACAGAGUCUGCUAAGCGUAAGAUUACAAGUGUGCUCCAAAGCUUCCUUUGCCUGUUAGACGUGGGAAUGCUGCAGACCAUCAGAGAGUGCACGUGUGGUGUAGAUGUGUUGGACCAAAUGGCACGAAUGUAUUCCAUAAGAGCAGCAACACGCAGGUGGCCAGUAGCGGUUUUCUACAAUAUGCUGUACCUUGCGGCGGUGAAUGCCUACAUUUUGUACAAGGCAUGUACAGGGUGGACAGGCAAAAGAAGAUUUUUUCUGAGUCUUCUAGCUCAGCAACUUUGUUUCCGAUUCAUGCAGCACAAGGAAAUAUUAGCACAGAGGCAGGCUGCUGAAGCUGCUGCAGCUGCUGUGCCAGGGACUGUAAAGACAACGCAGUGCCAGGUGCAAGAGAGCUGCAACAGGAAUCGCAGCAGGUUUACCUGUGCAACAUGUCAGAAAUUCACCUGUGCCAAAUGCAGGGAUGAAGGACACUGGGUCUGCAAACGCUGUAAAGUUUGA
Molecule: long non-coding RNA, 645 nt
Filed under: Oreochromis niloticus (Nile tilapia)
Lineage: Eukaryota; Metazoa; Chordata; Actinopteri; Cichliformes; Cichlidae
Description: lncRNA (ENSONIG00000036457.1)
Source: RNAcentral